UGUUAUAGGAGUUUGAAAAACAUCAAGUUCAGAAGAUAAAAAAAUAUAGCUACAAAUCUAGGGGAAACAAAAACAUGUAGAAAUAUAGGGAUCCAAGUGUUGGCAGUGGAGUGUGAGUAAAGAAACCCCAUCUCACUAAGUCAAGGACAUUAUUGAGAAAUAUAGGCAAAAUUGUCGUGUCGUUGGAUAAGUUUGUUGAAAAUCUUUCUCGUCAUUACAACAACGUCCCAACUCAUUGGAAGGACAUAACCAGAGUGGAUGAAUAUGAGCACGCCUAAGGAAGAUGAAGAUGAAGUUGAAGGCCCGCUUCAUGGCAAGGUCUUUAAUUCGACAAAGCUUUGAAACUACGCUUUCCAUGGUUCAACCUUGCUGCGCCGCGGUUCGUCGCUUCACACAGUUGUGCACCGGUGCUGCACCUCUAGCUGUGGCACCUCACCGCAUGAUGUGAGUCGUCGCUGCAGCUCCAAAAUAUAGAGAGGAU
This 481-nucleotide long non-coding RNA is filed under the name Olea europaea subsp. europaea. The record is from RNAcentral. Lineage: Eukaryota; Viridiplantae; Streptophyta; Magnoliopsida; Lamiales; Oleaceae.